Molecule: ribosomal RNA, 1485 nt
Filed under: uncultured bacterium
Lineage: Bacteria
Description: bacterial SSU rRNA
Rfam family: Bacterial small subunit ribosomal RNA
Source: RNAcentral
GAGUUUGAUCCUGGCUCAGGAUGAACGCUGGCGGCGUGGAUAAGGCAUGCAAGUCGAGCGCCCCCACCUUUCUUCGAAAGAUGGGGGAGCGGCAAACGGGUUAGUAACACGUGGGUACCUGCCCUCCAGACAGGCAUAACCCCGAUAAAUCGGGGCUAAUACCCGAUGGACUCGCAAGAGUAAAGGCCCUGUACCAUCCGGUACAGGGCGCUGGAGGAGGGGCCUGCGGCCUAUCAGCUUGUUGGUAAGGUAAUGGCUUACCAAGGCAAUGACGGGUAGGGGGCGUGAGAGCGCGGUCCUCAACACUGGGACUGAGACACGGCCCAGACUCCUACGGGAGGCAGCAGCCGAGAAUCUUCGACAAUGGGGGAAACCCUGAUCGAGCGACGCCGCGUGUGGGAUGACGCCCUGCGGGGUGUAAACCACUUUUCUGUGGGACGAAUCGGCCCGACUUCGGUCGGACCACUGACGGUACCACAGGAAUAAGGGGCUGCUAACCUCGUGCCAGCAGCAGCGGUGAGACGAGGGCCCCAAGCGUUAUCCGGAAUCAUUGGGCGUAAAGGGUCCGUAGGCGGCAAGCAUUGUCGCAGGUUAAAGGCCUCGGCUCAACCGAGGAGAUGCUUGCGAAACGUGCUUGCUAGAGGACGUGAGAGGCUGACGGAACUCACGGUGUAGGGGUGAAAUCCGUUGAUAUCGUGGGGAACACCGAAAGCGAAGGCAGUCAGCUGGCGCGUUCCUGACGCUGAGGGACGAAAGUGUGGGUAGCGAAUGGGAUUAGAUACCCCAGUAGUCCACACUGUAAACGCUGGACACUGGCUAUGUGGAGUAUCGACCCUCCAUGUGGCGAAGCUAACGCGUUAAGUGUCCCGCCUGGGAAGUACGGCCGCAAGGCUAAAACUCAAAGGAAUAGACGGGGACUCGCACAAGCGGUGGAGCGUCUGGUUCAAUUCGACAAUAAGCGAGGAACCUUACCAGGGCUUGACAUCCUGUCGACCGCUUCCUGAAAGGGAAGCCCCCCUGAUUUUUAUCGGGGCGGCAGGACAGGUGCUGCAUGGUUGUCGUCAGCUCGUGCCUUGAGGUGUUCCGUUAAGUCGGGUAACGAGCGCAACCCUUGUCGUAUGUUACAUGUGUCAUACGAGACUGCCUCGGCAACGAGGAGGAAGGUGGGGAUGACGUCAAAUCAGCAUGGCCCUCUGAUGCCCUGGGCGACACAGGCGCUACAAUGGUCGGUACAAUGGGUCGCGAAACCGCGAGGUGGAGCUAAUCCCACCAAAGCCGGCCUCAGUUCGGAUUGGAGUCUGCAACUCGACUCCAUGAAGUCGGAAUCGCUAGUAAUCGCGUAUCAGCCAUGGCGCGGUGAAUACGUUCCCGAGUCUUGUACUCACCGCCCGUCAAGUCAAGGAAGCUGGCAAUACCCGAAUGUCCACAGUAGUGGGCAGAAGGUAGGGUCAGUAACAGGGACUAAGUCGUAACAAGGUAACCGUA